GCAACAAAAAGUUGAUCUUCCAGUUCGUUUCUUUGACUCGCACGACGCGGUUAUGUUUUUACGGCUGUGUUCUUUAAUUUCGCACAAACGAUGACAAACUUUACGAAUUAGUGGAUUUCCGGCGGUAAUGAAAAGUGUUAGAAGUUUCUCGUCACGGUUCGGUGCCUGUUUCGGACGUAAGAACAUCAGUGAAUGAUUACGAGUCGUCGAUGUUGUGACGACUUUUUGUUACUCCCACAUGUUGCAUUGCCUUCGACGCAGCAACAGCUGCUUGCAGCAGUGAGUGAGUGAGUAACCAUUGCGUCGUCGUUUGUGGGAAAGCUUAUUACCAUGAUGAAUCGUACUUAGGUAUGCGGUAGUCACAUAAGAAGAUAAGAUAAACCACAAGCAGUGUUCUGUGCGUAAAUCUAUUCGAAAAUCUGCUUGAGCCAAACUUGGCAGUGAAUCAAAAUAAGUGCUGCAGCUUUACACAGAAGAUAGCAAACGGGUUCAAUAACCACUGCCCCCGAAAACCAGGAAGUGACGAGAGAAGUUUAUUCGAGUGUCUGCUGCUGUUCUUGUGAAUAAGUGGAGUACAACGACGAGAGCACCUGCUUCUCCCCGGUUUUGGUUCUGCUGCAGUUUGGAAGGCGUUUUCGGCAUUCCGUCUAUAUACCUGGACCUAUCUGUAUUCAACAGCCCUGGUAAUUUCACAUGAGAAAUCGAAACAGCGAUCAUCAGUAGUUGAGCAGCUGAUUGCUUGCCGGUAAACACCGACGCGAGGUACCUACAAGAGAGGAAACGACGAGGAAAAGAUUUCCGAUAAUUAGCACAUGGUUCGGUGCUGGGAAUAGCGAACGACGACAAAUGGAAGAAAGAUGUUCAAUGGAGCGGUGAUGCUGUUCAGAAUCGCACAUACUUCAGUUAAAUUGGUUUCCCCUGAGGGCAACCGGUACAGGUAGGCCCCCGCCAACGCAAAUCAGCGAAAAAUGAUGACCGAGGAAGAAUUGACCGAGAAGAGAAUUCUGCUGGAGCGUGCAAAUGCCGAACGGGAAGCAAUUUUCAAGCGGUACGAUCGAGGGCGAAAGAACAUAGACAUUGACGCAUGGGAUGAUCCGGCUUUUGAGAUUUACACCCAAGCGGAUCGGUAUGGGUUUCUGCACCCGGAGAAGGAACAGCUAUAUCGAGACGACAUCGAGGCGGCUCGUCGGAAGCAGAUCGAAAUUGAACGUACGAAAAAAUGGCUAAAAAUGAGGAACAACUGGACGAGCGCCGAAACGAAGGAACGUCUCCAAAGGAGGGUAAUGAAAGGUAUCCCCGAUCGGUUAAGGGCGGCCAUUUGGAAGUUGCUUCUGAAUCUGGACCAGACGCUGGCAGAGAACGUCGGAGUUUACGACAAGAUGCUUAAAUUUGCCCGGCAGUACAGUCCGGACAUUCGGCAGAUAGAUUUCGAUGUGAACCGGCAGUUUCGCAAUCAUAUCAACUACCGCGAGCGGUACAGCGUGAAGCAGCAAAGCCUGUUCCGGGUGCUGGCCGCCUAUAGUAUGUACAACAUGGAGGUGGGCUACUGCCAGGGCAUGUCGACGGUGGCCGGCGUGCUGCUGAUGUACUUCGAUGAGGAGGACACGUUCUGGGCGUUGAAUGCGCUGCUGUCCAAUGAACGGUACGCCAUGCAUGGGCUGUAUGUGGAAGGCUUUCCCAAGCUGAUGCGGUUCCUGCAACACCAUGACAAAAUCCUGACCAAAUGUAUGCCAAAAGUUAAGAAGCAUUUAGACAAACACGGAGUCGAUUCCGUGCUAUAUUCGCUGAAGUGGUUUUUCGUUAUCUUCAUUGAAAGGAUACCGUUCAGCCUUUGUCUGCGAGUAUGGGACAUCUACAUGCUCUACGGUGAGCGUGUGCUGACGGCGAUGGCCUACACCAUCCUAAAGGUCCACAAAGUGAAACUACUCCGAAUGAAGGACAUGGACCAGAUAACCGAGUUCCUGCAGACGAUUCUGUACAAAAAUUUCGGCUACGAUGACGAUACUGUGAUAAAGGCUCUACAGCUGGCGAUGUUCGAGCUGAAAAAACUGAACCUGGACAAGCUGCCACCGGCUCCGGUCAACGAAUUUCCCAAGGUCCCCUUCGGGCAGUUUAUCGAGCCCAGUCUGGAGGCGAAGAUCGGACACCGGAACGAGAAAUUCACCGAACGAGAAACGGAACUGAAGGAGACAGUGCUGUAUCGAAGCGAAUCGAAGAAUGGCGCUGACGACGAGGGCGAUGAAAACGGACGGGGCGACCAUGUCCCGCGGAAUGGCCAUCAUCGGGACGAGAACGGCGACGAAGAUGACCGGACCGAGCGGGAUUGUGAUGAUAUCACCGAGGAGGACGAUGCUUACAGUAAUCUCAAUACAGUUCCUCUAACGCCUCGGUUUCGGAGAUUCCAUCCCUUGAAUAAAGGUGUUAGCAUGUCAUCGCUCAGAACGAUCCAGAGCUUUACCACGCUCGACACCAGCACGUCAUUAGCGACCAGCCUUAACUCACUCGUAAUAAUCGAUUCGUUCGAUGAGAAUUGUGAUAACAUGAUUGAGGAAAUUACUAGAUUGUAGUUUGGAUAGGUUCAUGCAAGGAGUAGACUUAAGAUACACGUAUUGAAUGCGUUGAUAACGUUAAAUGUAGGUUUUAGCAGUUUCCGAAAGGAUAAUCGCAAGUAGCGCGCUAGGUCACUUUCUGCUCGGGUAUUCGAAUGGCGGCAAACACGUGGACAUAAGGGUGUCUCAAAAUUUCACAUCGUCAAAAAACUCGGGGGCUCAAUGUCCAAAUGGUAGGCACGUGGAUCAUGAUUUCUAGAAAAAUUCUACAAAUGAAUCUAGUAGACUUUGUUGAUUGCACCCAACAUAACUCCCGCAGCAACGGGUGAAAAUUUUCUCAUUCCCUUUCGGCCCACCACUGGAAAAGGUUGUCUUUAUUUCCGGAAAAUCCCGAAAGCCCAUCAAGAUGUUCAAAAUUAUCAGUGAAGCAGCGAGAGUAGGAAUCUCGGCCAAAAACAUGGAAGCCGUCGGCAAGCUAGCUAAAGCUCGUCCAUUUUCCUCCUCGAACAAGGACCGCGGUCUGACGGAUUUCAGUCAGAAGAAAGACUGCCAGCAAAAGGCCUGCGCCGAACGGUCCACCAAGAUGCCCCCGAAGGAACCCAAAUCUAGCUGCGAUAAGCCCGUCAGUCCGAAGACAUGGCGCACCUGUCCGGAACCACCAACGCCGAAGGAGUUUUCCUGUGACGAUACGCUUCAACAGAUGGUACCGCGCCGUAAGAAGCGGCAGGUAGCCUCUCGGCCGUCCUGCGCCAAACCAGCACCCAGCCUGGCCGCUCCCGACUGCGUAAAAGUCAAGAAAGAGCUCUGUCCUCGGGCGUCCCUUCCCGGAUGUGGAAAGGCGAAGAUCCCACCCCGGUGCGAUCCGAAGAAAGUGGUCCGCGACUGCAUUAAACUGCGACCCCCGGUGGCUUCCUUUGCAGAGUGCUACAAGAACCCAUUCCCGCCACAACCCCGUUCCGAGUGCACCUGCCUGACCACGCCCCGGAUUUGCUGAAAGCGCUUCCUACCCGAGGCAGAAAGUUUCUGUGACCAUGAGAUUCCCCUCUUCUGAAUAAAAAAUGUACGUCGAUCGCAACGGUAA
This is an RNA transcript of Aedes aegypti (yellow fever mosquito), 3630 nucleotides long. It is a transcript of the gene named USP6 N-terminal-like protein, with no coding region annotated. The transcript is spliced from 8 exons. NCBI's taxonomy places the organism in Eukaryota, Metazoa, Arthropoda, Insecta, Diptera, Culicidae. The record is from RefSeq and is a predicted model, not a curated record.